Molecule: ribosomal RNA, 253 nt
Filed under: uncultured bacterium
Lineage: Bacteria
Description: partial 16S ribosomal RNA
Rfam family: Bacterial small subunit ribosomal RNA
Source: RNAcentral
UACGUAGGUGACAAGCGUUGUCCGGAUUUACUGGGCGUAAAGAGCGCGCAGGCGGUCGAUCAAGUCGAGUGUGAAAGCCCCCGGCUCAACUGGGGAGGGUCAUUCGAUACUGAUCGACUCGAAGGCAGGAGAGGGUAGUGGAAUUCCCGGUGUAGUGGUGAAAUGCGUAGAUAUCGGGAGGAACACCAGUGGCGAAGGCGACUCACUGGCCCGGUACUGACGCUGAGGUGCGAAAGCGUGGGGAGCAAACAGG